AGUGAACGCUGGCGGUAGGCCUAACACAUGCAAGUCGAACGGCAGCACAGUAAGAGCUGCUCUUACGGGUGGCGAGUGGCGGACGGGUGAGGAAUACAUCGGAAUCUACUUUUUCGUGGGGGAUAACGUAGGGAAACUUACGCUAAUACCGCAUACGACCUACGGGUGAAAGCAGGGGAUCUUCGGACCUUGCGCGAUUGAAUGAGCCGAUGUCGGAUUAGCUAGUUGGCGGGGUAAAGGCCCACCAAGGCGACGAUCCGUAGCCGGUCUGAGAGGAUGAUCAGCCACACUGGAACUGAGACACGGUCCAGACUCCUACGGGAGGCAGCAGUGGGGAAUAUUGGACAAUGGGCGCAAGCCUGAUCCAGCCAUACCGCGUGGGUGAAGAAGGCCUUCGGGUUGUAAAGCCCUUUUGUUGGGAAAGAAAAGCAGCAGGUUAAUACCCCGCUGUUCUGACGGUACCCAAAGAAUAAGCACCGGCUAACUUCGUG
Molecule: ribosomal RNA, 491 nt
Filed under: uncultured bacterium
Lineage: Bacteria
Description: partial 16S ribosomal RNA
Rfam family: Bacterial small subunit ribosomal RNA
Source: RNAcentral